Molecule: ribosomal RNA, 429 nt
Filed under: Chloroflexota bacterium
Lineage: Bacteria; Bacillati; Chloroflexota
Description: Chloroflexi bacterium partial 16S ribosomal RNA
Rfam family: Bacterial small subunit ribosomal RNA
Source: RNAcentral
UGGGGAAUAUUGCACAAUGGGCGCAAGCCUGAUGCAGCCAUGCCGCGUGUGUGAAGAAGGCCUUCGGGUUGUAAAGCACUUUCAGCGGGGAGGAAGGCGAUAAGGUUAAUAACCUUAUCAAUUGACGUUACCGACAGAAGAAGCACCGGCUAACUCCGUGCCAGCAGCCGCGGUAAUACGGAGGGUGCAAGCGUUAAUCGGAAUUACUGGGCGUAAAGCGCACGCAGGCGGUUGAUUGAGUCAGAUGUGAAAUCCCCGGGCUUAACCCGGGAAUUGCAUCUGAUACUGGUCAGCUAGAGUCUUGUAGAGGGGGGUAGAAUUCCAUGUGUAGCGGUGAAAUGCGUAGAGAUGUGGAGGAAUACCGGUGGCGAAGGCGGCCCCCUGGACGAAGACUGACGCUCAGGUGCGAAAGCGUGGGGAGCAAACAGG